AGAUUGAACGCUGGCGGAAUGCUUUACACAUGCAAGUCGAACGGCAGCACGGGGGCAACCCUGGUGGCGAGUGGCGAACGGGUGAGUAACACAUCGGAACGUGCCCAGUCGUGGGGGAUAACUACGCGAAAGCGUAGCUAAUACCGCAUACGAACUCUGGUUGAAAGCGGGGGACUCGCAAGAGCCUCGCGCGAUUGGAGCGGCCGAUGGCAGAUUAGGUAGUUGGUGGGGUAAAGGCUCACCAAGCCGACGAUCUGUAGCUGGUCUGAGAGGACGACCAGCCACACUGGGACUGAGACACGGCCCAGACUCCUACGGGAGGCAGCAGGUGGGGAAUUUUGGACUAAGUGGGCGCGAAGCCUGAUCCGAGCCAUUCCGCGUGCAGGUAUGGAACGUCCCGUCGGUUAGUAAACUGUCGUUUUUAGUAACGGUAAACGAAAACGCGACGUUA
This 451-nucleotide ribosomal RNA is filed under the name uncultured soil bacterium. RNAcentral's name for it is "bacterial SSU rRNA". It matches the Rfam family "Bacterial small subunit ribosomal RNA", at positions 26 to 469 of the family's 1533-position model. The record is from RNAcentral.